This 75-nucleotide antisense RNA is filed under the name Streptomyces sp. 846.5. RNAcentral describes it as "ASpks TB sRNA". It matches the Rfam family "ASpks TB sRNA". The record is from Rfam by way of RNAcentral. Lineage: Bacteria; Bacillati; Actinomycetota; Actinomycetes; Kitasatosporales; Streptomycetaceae.
CUUGAUCGAACCGAGCCACAACGGCUGCUCCGCGGGGCGGUCCUGGCCGUAGGUCGCCAGCAGCGCCUGGGCCUC